AAAGCUCCUGACUCUAUCGCUUCUUUUGAAGAGGAAAGUCCGGACAACACAGAGCAUCAUACUAGUUAACGGCUAGGCAUUUUUAUAAUGAUAGCUAGUGCAACAGAAAAAAACCGCCUUCGGGUAAGGGUGAAAAGGUGAGGUAAAAGCUCACCAGUAUUUCGAGUAAUCGAGAUAGCUGUGCAAACCUUAUGAGGUGAAAGGUCAUGUAUACCAGGAUUUCUUUAGAGAAUUAGAGUUGCUCGCUCGAACCUGGAGGGUAGACCGCUAAAGAUGCUUAGUGAUAAGUAUCGUAGAUAAAUGAUGGAGAUUCCUUUAGGGAUGACAGAAUCCGGCUUAUGACGGAGCUUUUCUU
RNAcentral lists this RNase P RNA (355 nucleotides) under Flavobacteriales bacterium. RNAcentral's name for it is "RNase P RNA component class A". It matches the Rfam family "Bacterial RNase P class A". Rfam says of the family: Ribonuclease P (RNase P) is a ubiquitous endoribonuclease, found in archaea, bacteria and eukarya as well as chloroplasts and mitochondria. The record is from RNAcentral. Lineage: Bacteria; Pseudomonadati; Bacteroidota; Flavobacteriia; Flavobacteriales.